Molecule: unclassified non-coding RNA, 258 nt
Filed under: Hevea brasiliensis (rubber tree)
Lineage: Eukaryota; Viridiplantae; Streptophyta; Magnoliopsida; Malpighiales; Euphorbiaceae
Source: RNAcentral
UGAUAACAAAGAGAGCAGCGGUGAGAAUGAGGAGCAGCGGCGAUGACAGAGAGCCUGUGGGUUGGGCAGCGAUGAAAGGCUUUGUGGGGUGGGCGGAACGUGAAUGCAGGGCGGCGGCUGAAGCAAAAGAUUGAGAGAUAAGAGAAAAAGGGAGGAAGGGUUUCGGUUUAUUUGAAAGGAUGCAGCUUGUCUGGUGAGUAAUGAUUGCUCCAAGAGAUUGUUGCCGCAACAAGUCGAUACACGUUGAACAGGGCGAAC